This 3122-nucleotide long non-coding RNA is filed under the name Patiria miniata (bat star). Its description in RNAcentral is "uncharacterized LOC119728696". Lineage: Eukaryota; Metazoa; Echinodermata; Asteroidea; Valvatida; Asterinidae. The record is from RNAcentral.
UCUUCUUCUUUCCAGUGGUUCAUAGAGCUGAAAGAUAUCAAAGAGUACAAAACCAAGAAGGAUAUUUUUAUGCUUGCGGAGUAUGACCCGAAACUCAAGGAAACAGUUCGUCAUAAGUUUCAGUCUAAUAUGGCACAUGACAUUGGAUAUGCCAUGUUGUGUGUGUUUUCCUACAUCGCCGCAGCUAGAAGUGCAGACAGUCAUACACGAAAGGAAUUGGAAGAAAGGAAUUGGAAGCAAGGAUGGCAGGACGUCGACGCCAAUUUCUUCACUCUCCCUGAGCAGUGUUGUGGUUUCGUAUCACAUUCUGUUUGUUUCUUUGUUGAUUGUUACUAGGGUUAUUCAAUCAUGACAAUGUAAUGUAAAUUAAAAGGGUGUUUGUAGAAAAAGUAUACUUGUAUGUCAGUUAAAAUGUCUUCCCGAACCUCCAAAAGCUCUCUUUUUUCGGGGUUGAAUAAUGAACUUUAUGCGUGUUCAUAAAGUUAUUGUAACAUUUGGUGAUAAGUGCAAUUACAUGUAAAGGCACGGUGAGUUUUCGACCCUACCAAGUCUACUUGCACUCAUAGAGCUAUAUUAAAUACUAGAGCGCUGACACAUGUACAAAGUGAUGCCUGCUCUGGGCGCCUCAGUGUUUGUGCACAAACCUAUAGAAAACUCGAAUUUUGUACAGCUGUUUACAUAACUGCGUUUGCAAUAUAUACAGGUUACCGAAGCCGAUAUACCCAAAUCCGAAACUCACGAUCAGCAAACGAGCGUUUCAUUUUGCUCUGAGCAAACGGUGCAACGCGUGUGCGUAUCCGCUGGAGAUGCUUUUUGCCGUGACUUUUUUUAACCGUCAUGACGCAAUAACUCAGUUACUUGCACUCUACUUGCCCGUAGAACAACUACCAAUGCAUAUUUAUCUGGAGAUUCGCGUGGAGUUCUCACACACAGUCUAACCCACUAUGCAUGCUCUGCGGUGUACUCACAUGUAAUUCCUCAAACGUUACGUUAAGCUACAUACUUACCCUCCGAUGCCUCUAAUCAGUGAGGCCCAGCUUCUUCCCAAAGGACUUUAUCCAGAUUGCGAACAUGACGGGGAAAUUCUCCGACGAAAAAGCAGGAUCCACCCCUAAGUCGAGUCGGACGUUGGCAUCAACGAGCUUGGGCGGCGAGUUAGGGUGUUCAAGCCCCUCUUGGCCUCAAGGGCCAACGGGACGUUAUCAUCACAGACUCCGAUGCCUCUGAACAAAGCUGAAGUGUACCUUAAGCCCAACAAUUUGCUGUCUGUUACGAAUACAGACGACGUUGGAAGGGGAAUUUUCUUACUUUAAUCCCCGCGGGUUGACGGCGUGUUAAUUUUUGUCGGUUUAUCGAUGAUUUGCAAUAUUCUUCGUCAGAAUUAUUUCGGUAUUUCGGAAUGCCCCGGCCCUCAUCCGAGUCCCUUUGGAACCUGUCGCCAAAGCAAGCAAGGAACGCUACUCUAAAUGAAAAAGAAUACGCCGAAACGAACGAGCUAAGUUUAUUUCCGCUGCCGACUUCAUUGUAAGCUUGUAGGGUACAACAUUACGAACCCCACCACCGAGUCAUGUCUCCACUAACUCGGGCACUCUUUCCAAUAUUGCACCAAGCAAGGGGCGACUUGCCCAGUUCCCUCGGACGCCCCAUACAGACUUGACCGUGGAAGGGCUGAUAAAUGAUAAGCCACUCCUCGGAACACUUUCACUCAAUUUUGCAGAACCACCAAAAUCAAUCUUGGUUUUUGCCUCUAUUUUUUUUUCAGACAAGAAAGUUUACUCCAGGUUUUAGAUGACGAAAAUUACGUUUUCCCAUUACGGCCGUGGGGCCGUCUUCAAAACUUAAUGUGGACCUGGGGAUUGUCGCCGAUCGCAGGUGUUCCAAACACAAUAAUGUUGGAAGCAAGGAUUCAAUCCUACCUAGCGCAUUGAUGUACUUACAGAUCAGGUCUGAGAAGAAUCAACAUGUUUUUCAAUCGACUUUCUGUCUCACAUCAAAGAAGGUGGAACAUGGCGGAACAAUCUUAAAUUUGAAUAUUUUAAUCAGAUCUCUCAGUAGUCGGUCGGAUAAGCACUAAGUGCUACUAUGACUUGGAAGGGUGUGAAUUGAUAUGUUAUUUGCAUCACUUUAGUCACCGAUGACUGAGCAUCAUUGAUUUGAUAAAGCAGCAUUUCAGAAAGAAAAUUUCACAGGAAAUGUGUCAUUGGUACUAUCUUUAAAGCGAGAGCUAUAUGACUUUAAAACACUUAUUUUGUCAUCUUCUUUUGGAUAGAUAUCUGAUUAUUUAGUUCUUUUUUUGCACGGAAGACAGGUGUAUUGAUAGGUUUUUUUUAAAGUUAUAUUGUCGAUGUAGGUUUUUUUUCCUGAACGGUAGAAGCAACAUUCCAUUGAAAUGUACAUGUACACAAAGAAUUAACCGUAGUUGUAAAAUGUCAAAAGUAACUUGGAAUUUAAUGUUACAAUGUAUAACAUAGUUAUUAAAUGUAUAUUGUACUCUUAAUAAUAAUGGCCUUGUUUUUGGACAUGUAUCAAAAUGUAUUACAGGGAUCGUAUGUCGGUCACGUGUAAGACAGGGUGCAUUAUUUUAAAAUAAGAUAAUACAAGCAAACCUUUUCAAUAAUUUAAUUUUUAACAAGUUUCACUGAUUUAAUAGCAUCAGUGCUGACAAAUGCACAUCCUUCUGGAAUGUCUGUUGGGGCCUCCGUUUUAAAACGUAGUGCACAGUUGCGAUGCGUUUUUUGGACAGUGCAAUGUUGUUCCCUCCGAACUUCGAAAAAUAACAAAAUUAAAAAUUUGAGUCAAAAAAAGCGGAACUAAAACCCCCAAAAUUUAAAUUUCAUAUUUAAAAAAUAUGUAGCACUGGAGAGCCAAUUUCAUAAGCUACUUUUAGAUGAAUAAAAUACUGAAAUUGCUCAAUCCGUUCAAAAAAUGCGAUUUCAAGAACCGUCGCCACAAUUGCCUUAAGGUAAAACCGAUAAAACCUUAGUUUAAAAGUUUGGAGUAAAUCCGUUUGGAGGCCCGUCUUUAAAAAGAUAGUGUGUUCUACAGUUGUUGAAACAAGUAUUCUGUCUUUUCUUUGUUCCAAACAGUCAAAACACGCAAUAAAUUGGUGUUUUGGUUUUUUA